This 366-nucleotide ribosomal RNA is filed under the name Triticum aestivum (bread wheat). RNAcentral's name for it is "partial small subunit ribosomal RNA". Lineage: Eukaryota; Viridiplantae; Streptophyta; Magnoliopsida; Poales; Poaceae. The record is from RNAcentral.
AUGAACACCGGUGAGUCUACGGCCAAUUUGGUGAGGACGGCGUUGCGUCGAAUAAGUUGGCUUCGGUCUCUCUCUCACCACGACAACGUCGAAGAGCCGAUGGCCUUGUCUUCUUGUCGUUUGCUCAAGGCGACGAGCUUUAGGUCCCUUGUGUUUGCUUGUUGUUUGUAUAUGUGGCACAAACAAAGAGGAGAAGAUGGUAUUCCUGGAGCACGGUUAGAAGAGCGUUGGCAGUGGCUCUGGUGUUCUCCCUGGCAUGGAUGGAGAGAGGCAACAGAUCCGGAUCCAGGACGACGUGGGGAAUUUCCUCCCUUGACAUGCUACAUCGACAAGCGCCUUUUUGCAGACCCGGCCAUCGACCCAUAA